RNAcentral lists this transfer RNA (72 nucleotides) under Saccopharynx lavenbergi. Its description in RNAcentral is "tRNA-Pro". It matches the Rfam family "tRNA". From Rfam's summary of the family: Transfer RNA (tRNA) molecules are approximately 80 nucleotides in length. Their secondary structure includes four short double-helical elements and three loops (D, anti-codon, and T loops). Lineage: Eukaryota; Metazoa; Chordata; Actinopteri; Anguilliformes; Saccopharyngidae. The record is from RNAcentral.
UCAGAGGGUGUUCUAAUAGAGGAUCCCGGCUUUGGGGGCCGGGGGUGGGAGUUUAAUUCUUCUCUCUCUGAG